This 1123-nucleotide unclassified non-coding RNA is filed under the name Hevea brasiliensis (rubber tree). The record is from RNAcentral. Lineage: Eukaryota; Viridiplantae; Streptophyta; Magnoliopsida; Malpighiales; Euphorbiaceae.
AAAAAAAAUCAAAAUCUUCUGAAAUGUGGAAGCAGGGUAACCUUUUUUAUGCUUUAGGAGUCCAUCCAAAUUCUCAGUGAAUAAAAUUUUCUCAGUUUUCUGUGUGGAUGUCCAUUCUACAAAGCUAGCGUGUGACGAAAGAGUUGAGAAACUGAUAGUAGAGAAGUGUGAAAUUUACAUGAGGAAACAUCUCUUAUACCAAUUAAUGAGAGCUUAUGUUGCGCCCUUUUAUACUUAAUGUUUUGCAGAGUCUAUGAAUAUGUUUGCUUUUUUACGUAUUCUGUGGCUAUCAUAAUUCUUAUUGUUCAAUUUUGAGUGCUAAGGAAUAUGAUGUGAAUAAUUUGGGGAAUAUUUAAUGGGUGCUAGUGGCAUAUAAUUGGUAGAGCUGGAGAGCAUUUGUUCCAACUUCCACAAAAAAAAGAUCACUGUGAUGCUGCUUUUCUACAUGUAGAUGUAAUGAGAACAUCCAUAAAGGGGUCACAUUUGGAAUGCAAGUUGUUUUUUUCGGCUUUAAUAUGUUGUUUGGUUUGCUUAAUUGCUUGUACAUUUUCAUUGUGGUUUAUGGGAAUGGUAUUUCUGUGGAGGUAGGCAACUUAUGGAUGGAACACCCUGCGCCCCUUCUCCGCUAUCUGAUAAGCAAAGAGUUAUCAGUAAUGUAGAAUUGUAGAUGGUUGCCUUAGUUGGGCGAAUAUUUAUUUUUGCAGGAAGAUGUGCAGAGGAAAGGCCUACAAUGUUACAUUGGCAGAUUUUUGGUUGUUUAUGAGGCAUUUGACUUAAUUUGAGGCUUGACAUGUGUAUAAAAUGCAUACUUCACUUGUAUACAAGAAUUGUGCUCAAAUAUGUAAAAUACAAGGAUGAUGAUAGAUGUCUGUUGAGAUUUUCUGCCAUAUUCUAAGUGUGGUUUCUCAAGAUUUGUAGACAUUCAAAUGUAUGUGUAUGCAAUGUGUGCUCGUCUUUGUCUUAUAUUCUCUGUUUACACUUCCAUCUGUGAUUAUGUGUGAAAUUGUUGUAUGAUAAAGUUAAUGCCAUAACGACAUUUGCAUGCACUAGUAGUUUUCUUUCCAAAGGAGACUAAUCAUAUUUCUACUAUUUUUUUUCAGUUUCUGUUUUUUGUGGUUCAAGA